CCUGCCCCUCGAGACAUUACAGAUGUGGCUGCUGUGUCAUGUGUGUGUCAACAGGUGGCAGAGAGGAGAGACGCUAUGUCUAAUCACGGUGUUCUGACCUAAGAGCAUCUGAAUGAUUAGCAGCCUAACACU
This is a small nucleolar RNA of Mastomys coucha (southern multimammate mouse), 132 nucleotides long. RefSeq annotates it as small nucleolar RNA SNORA17. NCBI's taxonomy places the organism in Eukaryota, Metazoa, Chordata, Mammalia, Rodentia, Muridae. The transcript has a single exon. The record is from RefSeq and is a predicted model, not a curated record.